RNAcentral lists this ribosomal RNA (341 nucleotides) under uncultured Glomus. RNAcentral describes it as "eukaryotic LSU rRNA". Lineage: Eukaryota; Fungi; Glomeromycota; Glomeromycetes; Glomerales; Glomeraceae. The record is from RNAcentral.
UUUGAAAGGGAAACGAUUGAAGUCAGUCGUACCGACGGAAAAUCAACUCUUCGAGUGUGGACUUUGUGGACGUGCGUGAGCUUUAACGGCCUCGCUGUUUGUAACGUUCGUGCUUUUUGGGUGUACUUUUUCGUAUGGUAGGCCAACAUCAGUUUUGAUCGCUAUAAAAUGACUGGAGGAAUGUAGCUUCGAUCUCGUAUUGAAGUGUUAUAGCCUUUGGUAGAUGUGGUGAUCGAGACUGAGGAUUGCAACGAAUAUCCUUUGGGCUAUCCGUCUGAUCUCUGAAAGUCGCUUAGGUGCCGAAAGCUUGCUUACGGUCAUUUAAGUUGACGUCAAAAGUG